This 207-nucleotide ribosomal RNA is filed under the name uncultured bacterium. Its description in RNAcentral is "partial 16S ribosomal RNA". It matches the Rfam family "Bacterial small subunit ribosomal RNA", at positions 568 to 774 of the family's 1533-position model. The record is from RNAcentral.
CGCGCAGGCGGCUUUGUAAGUCAGAUGUGAAAGCCCGGGGCUCAACCCCGGAAGUGCAUUUGAAACUAUAAGGCUUGAGUAUGGGAGAGGGAAGUGGAAUUCCUGGUGUAGAGGUGAAAUUCGUAGAUAUCAGGAGGAACACCGGUGGCGAAGGCGACUUCCUGGACCAAUACUGACGCUGAGGCGCGAAGGCGUGGGGAGCAAACA